Molecule: long non-coding RNA, 4672 nt
Filed under: Coffea arabica (coffee)
Lineage: Eukaryota; Viridiplantae; Streptophyta; Magnoliopsida; Gentianales; Rubiaceae
Description: long non-coding RNA (CARA_LNC007584)
Source: RNAcentral
GGUUAAUUACAUUUACCUCCCCUAAGGUUUAGCCAAACUACCAGUCAAACCUUGAGGUUUAAUCAAAUAACAGUCUAAUCCCUUGACUAAGCAAACGUUUAUCAAAGACCCCCUUGCUAUCCUAAGAUGUUAGUUAAGGUAUGAUGUCAGCAACAAAACUAUUAUGAGAGGCCAAAAAUGCCCUUAUAGACCUAUGUGUCAUCACUAAUUCCUUUGACUUUUUCCUGAAGUAAUAAUAACAUUCUUUUCUUUUCUUUAUUUCCUCAAAUAUACUAAAAGAAAUUGACUACCCAAGAACCACAAAAGAAAAAGAAAAGAGUUGCAAAUUUUUAUGAAAAGUCAAUUUCACUAAUUGUUACCUCAUAGAAGAAAGAUUUGAAAUAACAUGACAAUAAUAAAAUAUAAGGAAAAAAAAGAGCUGUGCAAUAACAAACAGAGGAGAAAUUAAAUAAAAAUUAUGAAAAAAAGAAAAAGAGAGUAUACCAAAAUCAAGAAAAAAUGAAAGUUCUUUCGAGUUGAGAGCUUCACCUUGUAGUGGGUUUAGAUUUAAAUAGCCUUUUAAUUUAAUGGCUAGAAUUGAAGCUAGGAUUGUCAAUUGGGAUAACAUAUAAUUUACCAGCAACCUUCGCUCGAAAGACUUCUUCACAACCAAUAAGUGUGUACAAGGUUCAAUUGGGAUAAUACCAUGUGUUAGCUUUCAAGCACAAAAAGGCACAUAAUUGCAUGGACGAUUUGUCACUUUUCUACUCCAAUGGGUACAAUCAAUAGUUGCUAUAUGCCCCGUGCCAAACCUUAAGGGAGGUAAUUGUAAUUAACCCUUAGUUUAUGUAAAUAAUGUGUUUCCGCAUGAACCAUACUUCUACAGUUUGGGAAGAGGUACAAUUUUUGGUCAGACACUAAUAUGAUCUAAUAUGCAAACCCUAUUUCUUUUUUUUUUUUUCGCUUAAAUGUUCAUGAAUACUAUUUGAAGCGUACAAAUCAAAAAAUUAACGUUACAAGCCUUUUCUGAAAGAAACAAAAAGUAAUCCCAACUUAGAAAGACUCGAAGGUAACGCAUCGUAACCAAGAACGGUGAAGUUUAAUGUAAGAUUGUGGAAUUGGUAGAAAGAGGACAGACUUGUCAUUUACAUGGUCAUGGCAACCGUCCUUAACCCCACGUUUGUUUUGUACGCAAAAAUCGUCUAGAAUGGGAAGACUUUUUUUUUUUUUUUUUUUUUAAUCUUGUCCAUUUCAUUUUCGUGUUUGGUAUCAAUCCUUUCGAUUAAAAUGGGCUUACCCCUUAGAAAACUCAUUCUACAUUUUCCUAAAAUAGCAUUCCUCAUAAAAUUCUAAUAAAAAUUUUCUUUUUUACUUUAUUCCGGAAUGUCCAGAAUUAUUGGGGUUAAAUUUAUCCUUCUACAUCUCUGUACUCCGUUACCAAAUAUUAGACCAUAAUUAUUUUAAAGAAUGAAUCUUGUUGUUUAAAAUAUUUUUCUUUGUUAAGUUUAAGAUAUUAUUUUUCUAAAUUUUUGUACAAAAUGUAUAUGGAUUUCUUUUUUGCACUUGAUAGACAAUGAAAACAUAAAAAAAAAAAGAGAGAACAUGAACGCAUGAUUUCAUGUAAUUUAAUUUUUUUAUAAAUUGGUAAUUAUACUACUAGUGAAAAGAAAAACUAGAAUAAAGUUUCAUAUUUCAUAAUUAAUAGAUAUUAUCAUCAAGUAUUUCAUUAAGUACAUAAUUUAUUCUUAAAAUAAAGAAAAAAAUUCAAAAUUCCUUGUAUAAAGUAAGCAAAUAGCAUAGCACAAACGAAUACACUAAAAUUAAAAACACAUACUGUCCUAUGUUAUAUUUCAAGAUAAUUAACUCAAAUUUGCAUAGAAUUUAUUCCAACAUGACAUCUAAAAAUUCAUUAUACCAAACAUUAAAAAUGGAAUGCACGUUCUAUUCUCACACAUCGAAACAAAUUUUGGGUAGAAAGAACUUCACAUUUUGAGCAUUCCAGUGUGCUAAACUAAACGCGGGCCUACAUAGUUUGUCAGUAAUAAGGAGUAACAUAUAUUAGUUGACGAAUUGGUCCAAGCUAAGUUGUGGACCAAAGCCCAAAAUAGAGCACAAUCCAUCCCUGAACAUUUGGCUUCUUAAUGAAGAUGAUGCAAUCAUCGAAAGGUACCCAUCCUGUCACCCAAACCACUCUUUUCCAAUUGCCUCCACCAUUUUCAUUUUUCCCAAAUGAUUUCAUAUCUUUCUCCCUUCUCUUUUUUCCCUUUUGCUUGGUCUUUAAUUUUUUUUUGGGGGGUCGAGAGGGUGGUUGUAGGAGUUGGAGGAGAAGAGACCAAAUAGUAGUAUUCCUGAGAGAUGAAAUCCAUUCUGGAAUUGCCGAAUGGGAAGCAAAAACAUCCGCUCAAUGACUGGGUAUCCUUGAUUCCAGAAAUUGCUACGAGAAAAGUGGCAUCGAGGAUCCCGUGUACAUGUUAACACACUUUUUUUUCUCACCCUUCUUUUUUUUUUUUUUUUUUAGGAAGCACCUGUUCCCAAGACUUACAUAUAUCCUUAAUCAUUUAACCAUUGAACAACUCUUGAAUUCUCACUAUAAAAUUAAUUUCUGUCUGCUUGAUUCACUUUUUUCUGCUUUCUAUCCAAUGGAAGCCUGCAAGUGGAGUUUUCAUUUUGAAGCUUGUCAAAUUCUAAUAAGAAAAAAGAGGUCAAUUGCAACAAACAUAUAGGUCCUCCGAGGGUGAAAAAAAAAAAAAAAGGCAUGAUGACAUAUAGCAUGUUGAAAAGUAAAGAAAAAUCUAAUAGCACCAAGAUACUUUCAGACCCUGAAAACAAGAUGAACAAAGCAUUGGAUGUCCCAGAAGUCUGACCGUACAUUACUGGGCCAGUUACAGCCCAGAUAGACAAACUGAGAAAAAUACUCAGACCUUUGCCUACAAAAUUAAGUAAAAGAUUUUUGUUUUUUUUUUUUCCCUUCUGGCACAAGUGUAAUUUAAUCAAAUUUCACGUGGUAAAAACUCUUACAAUCUUGAAAUGAAUAGGGUUUCAGGAUUCAGUUGUCUCAGAAAAAGAAUUUAUCAUGUCGCAGUGUAAAAGACUCCAGUACAGAUUCCCAUCGUAUGCAUGCAAGCCAGGAUCCAGUACAAAGUCUCAACCUCAUUACUUGAGUAAACACAAACAAAACAUACAGAGAAAAAAUGGAAAGAGAAAAGAAAAUGGGCCUAGAAAAGAAAAGUCUUCUUCGAGUGAAGCAAAUAAAUUAUUUGUAUUUGCUCUCAUUGAAGCUACGCGGCUCAUUUUCUGACUUCCUAGAAGUAUACACACUAAGUCAAGAGAAGAUAUCAGGUCCUGACUUUCAAACUCUUUUCUUUUUCUCUUCCUCCUACAAGGUAUGAAAUCUUCCAUUGAACUAAAAAAACAAAAGUAUACACUAAUUCAAGGGAUAAUUUCAUAAACUUCUCCUGAGGUUUUUGACAAUUAUACUGGUCUCCCUCUGAAGUUUGUAAAAUUACACAAACCUUCCAUGAGAUUAAGGUUUUGAUAACAAAGGUAGUCAAUUAGAAAAAGUAACAUUGAAAAAGUACUUUACAGAGGGAGAUGAAACUUUUAUUUCAUAAAUACCUCUGAUGCAUGUACAUAAGUUGUCUUAGUAAAAGAAUAAAAAUAAUUAAAAGUUAGAAUCUAAAUUAUUGGUACGCAAACUCCUUGGAAUCUUUCCUGGAUCAACACUUGAAGUCGGGGCAACUUGAUCAACCACAUCAAUUGUAGAGUAAGAGCUGCAUUGGCAUUAGGCUCCGGUUAUUUAAUCGGGUAAAAUUUCGGGGAAAUCUUUUAUUGUGCAUUUGGGUCAUAAGUGGUUCUUACACUUUUAUCUCUGCACAUAAAACAAAAGGUCGCAAAGUGAUUUGUGAUACGAGCUGUGAUCAAACCACAUAUGGAAAUGUACAGAGAUCACUGACCAAUCCUUUUCUCAGGGUGUACGCAUGUGAUGUGGAUGGAACAGUUAUGCUCAGACUUGUACAGAUAACAUGAACAAUUUAAUGGGGCUGUUAAAUGACCUGCCCGGAAUGAGAAAGAGCCGAAAAAUAGCUAUAUUUGGGGUAAGAAAUUAAGUUCCUCCAACCUCAUAUAGGCUGUGCCAUUAAUUAUCCCAAUAUAUGCAGAGAGUACCAAAAUUAUUAAGUUGACAUCGAUGAUUAGAUGCUUCAAUCACAGGAGAUAUUUGCAUUGUUUAGGCGAUUUUUUUGUUAAGCGUCGCGAUUAUCUUUGAUCAGGUCAUUUUGGGGUACGGUGGGUAGAAGCACUAGCAAGUUGCGAGUCAAUUCUAAUUCUAACUUAAAAUUGUGACUCAUUAAUCAAUUCAUUUUUAUUUCUUAACUUCUCAUGUCCUAGCUUGAAUGACCAGUCUAUCUUAGUUCCCUUUAGUGGAUUACAUAAUAAUGAAGAAUAAAUCUUUGAAAAUUAAUAAAGUGACUUAAUUUUUAAUUGACCAAUCAUGGCUGCACUAAUGAAUUAUUUGAUUUGGACACCUAUUAAUAAUAUAAUCUAAAAAUAGAAAAGACCAAUUUUUUUUUAAUACUAUUUGACAAUUUUGAAAGUCAACUAUGAUCAAUUUGUUGAAAAUUACACAGAUAGUGGAGAUCGUAAACUAAAAGAAAAAUGUAAGUUGCACAACAUUUUAGGAUUAUAUGAAACCAAU